UUGGAGGGCAAGUCUGGUGCCGGCACCCGCGGUAAUUCCAGCUCCAAUAGCGUAUAUUAAAGUUGUUGCAGUUAAAAAGCUCGAAGUUGAAUUUCGGGAUCCGAUUGUCGGUCGUGCCUCGGUACGCACUGGCAUUAUUGGUUCCUACCUUCUGAAGAACCGCGAUGUCAUUAAUUUGGUGUCGUGGGGAAUCAGACUGUUACUUUGAAAAAAUUAGAGUGUUUAAAGCAGGCGCACGCUUGAAUACUUUAGCAUGGAAUAAUGAAAUAGGACGUUUGAUUCUAUUUUGUUGGUUUCUAGGAUCGACGUAAUGAUUAAUAGGGAUAGUUGGGGGCAUUAGUAUUCAAUUGUCAGAGGUGAAAUUCUUGGAUUUAUUGAAGACUAACUACUGCCAAAGCAUUUGCCAAGGAUGUUUUCAUUAAUCAAGAACGAAAGUUAAGGGUUCGAAGACGAUCAGAUACCGUCGUAGUUUUAACCAUAAACUAUGCCGACUAGGGAUCGGAUGAUGUUGAUUUUAUAAUGACUCAUUCGGCGCCAUACGGGAAAC
This 547-nucleotide ribosomal RNA is filed under the name uncultured Glomus. RNAcentral describes it as "SSU rRNA". It matches the Rfam family "Eukaryotic small subunit ribosomal RNA", at positions 548 to 1098 of the family's 1831-position model. The record is from RNAcentral. Lineage: Eukaryota; Fungi; Glomeromycota; Glomeromycetes; Glomerales; Glomeraceae.